GUCGGCUGGUCAUGGUUUUUGUACUUGUGUACUAAUUAUAACCAUUUGCAGAUCCUGAUAAGCCAAACUCAAGAAAAAUCCUUCAAACUGGCAGUAUCCACACAGAGAACCUGCCAUUAAGAUCCCAUGAGACCAAGAAGACACCACGUCGAGUUAUUGAGAAGAAGGCACCAAGACAAGAGCUACAAGAGGAUAUACCAUCUUCCUCCCAUUCAUAUUUAGAGCCAGGAUUGUGUUCAGAUGAUUUAAUUAAUCAACUUGACAAUGAUACUUUAUUGGAAUGGAAAAGUGAAGUGUUGUGAUGAUGGCAAUGUCAAUUUUUUUCUGACUGACAAUGUCCAUGGAGUUGCCAAAUAUACAGUUGUUGUGGAUUCUUG
Non-coding RNA from Paramuricea clavata, 377 nucleotides. The record is from the annotation of a GenBank genome assembly. NCBI's taxonomy places the organism in Eukaryota, Metazoa, Cnidaria, Anthozoa, Malacalcyonacea, Plexauridae.